UUUACCCUUUGGCGGCCUUUUUUCUAUCUAGAGGAACUUACUUCUAAUCGAUAUUGCGCGCUAAAUUUCACUUUUUUUUAGGUUUUAUACCGCCGUCUAAAGACCUUAAUAAAAUCUUUCAUCUCUAAGAUCAAGUAAAAAAGUCAGGUCAAGGUGAAGCCUAUAAAAAAGAUAAAACCGAGUUACUUAUUUUAUAUAAAAAUGGAUUCUUACGCUGAAGCCCAAAUAAAAAAGGAUCUAACAGUAAUACAACUUUAAAACACCCGUAUGAACUAGCCAAAAAGGUGCACAUAUCGCCCGUCACCCUCAUCCAAAG
RNAcentral lists this ribosomal RNA (316 nucleotides) under Vacrothele digitata. Its description in RNAcentral is "partial small subunit ribosomal RNA". The record is from RNAcentral. Lineage: Eukaryota; Metazoa; Arthropoda; Arachnida; Araneae; Macrothelidae.